This 467-nucleotide ribosomal RNA is filed under the name uncultured bacterium. RNAcentral's name for it is "partial 16S ribosomal RNA". It matches the Rfam family "Bacterial small subunit ribosomal RNA", at positions 29 to 507 of the family's 1533-position model. The record is from RNAcentral.
ACGAACGCUGGCGGCGUGCUUAACACAUGCAAGUCGAACGGAAAGGCCCUGCUUUUGUGGGGUGCUCGAGUGGCGAACGGGUGAGUAACACGUGAGUAACCUGCCCUUGACUUUGGGAUAACUUCAGGAAACUGGGGCUAAUACCGGAUAGGAGCUCCUGCUGCAUGGUGGGGGUUGGAAAGUUUCGGCGGUUGGGGAUGGACUCGCGGCUUAUCAGCUUGUUGGUGGGGUAGUGGCUUACCAAGGCUUUGACGGGUAGCCGGCCUGAGAGGGUGACCGGCCACAUUGGGACUGAGAUACGGACCAGAAUCCUACGGGAGGCAGCAGUGGGGAAUAUUGCACAAUGGGCGGAAGCCUGAUGCAGCAACGCCGCGUGCGGGAUGACGGCCUUCGGGUUGUAAACCGCUUUCGCCUGUGACGAAGCGUGAGUGACGGUAAUGGGUAAAGAAGCACCGGCUAACUACGUG